GACGAACGCUGGCGGCGUGCCUAACACAUGCAAGUCGAGCGGGGAUGAUGGAGAGCUUGCUCAAAGCGGAUAAGGAUUCCCACCUAGUGGCAGACGGGUGAGUAACACGUGGGUGACCUACCUUCAAGUUGGGGAUAACAGUUGGAAACGAUUGCUAAUACCGAAUGAUAUGCAACAGUCAAUGUUGUAUUGAAAGGAGCCUUUAAAGCUUCGCUUAAAGAUGGGCCUGCGGCGUAUUAACUAGUUGGUGAGGUAACGGCUCACCAAGGUAACGAUGCGUAGCCGAACUGAGAGGUUGAACGGCCACACUGGGACUGAGACACGGCCCAGACUCCUACGGGAGACAGCAGUUAGGAAUAUUCGUCAAUGGGGAAACCCUGAACGAGCAAUGCCGCGUGAGUGAUGAAGGUCUUUGGAUUGUAAAAC
RNAcentral lists this ribosomal RNA (426 nucleotides) under uncultured bacterium. RNAcentral's name for it is "bacterial SSU rRNA". It matches the Rfam family "Bacterial small subunit ribosomal RNA", at positions 28 to 431 of the family's 1533-position model. The record is from RNAcentral.